RNAcentral lists this ribosomal RNA (322 nucleotides) under uncultured eukaryote. RNAcentral's name for it is "partial 18S ribosomal RNA". It matches the Rfam family "Eukaryotic small subunit ribosomal RNA", at positions 1470 to 1796 of the family's 1831-position model. The record is from RNAcentral.
CCCUUAGAUGUUCUGGGCCGCACGCGUGCUACACUGAGUGGAUCAGCGGGUCAGGUUGCGCGAAAGUGUUUCCUAAUCUUGAAAUCCGCUCGUGAUGGGGAUUGACGGUUGCAAUUUUCCGUCAUGAACGAGGAAUACCUUGUAAGCGCGGGUCAUCAUCCCGCGCUGAAUAUGUCCCUGCCCUUUGUACACACCGCCCGUCGCUCCUACCGAUUGAGUGGUCCGGUGAGGCUUUGGGAUCUGAGCAAAGAGAGCGUUUCGCUCGUUUUGCCCGGAAAACUCAGUCGAACCUUAUCAUUUAGAGGAAGGAGAAGUCGUAACA